This is a long non-coding RNA of Passer domesticus (house sparrow), 347 nucleotides long. RefSeq lists it as uncharacterized. The transcript has 3 exons. The record is from RefSeq and is a predicted model, not a curated record. Lineage: Eukaryota; Metazoa; Chordata; Aves; Passeriformes; Passeridae.
CUGCUCUGAGAAGGGUCAUCUUCAAACUUUGGUCAGGAUCUUACCCAGGUGACUUCUGGGCUCCAUAACAGAAAUGUUCAGACUGGAAGGAAGGUGGAUGUUUUUUAUGGAUGCACCAGAAGGAACAAAUGGCAGGGAAGGGCUACACAAGCAGCACAUUCUGGUGGCACCUGACAGAACAAGCAAGCAAGUUCCCAGCACAACUCCAUACACAAUCUCAGGACACUCAGGAUUGGACACAAAAGCCAGGAACCCUGGACAGAUGACUUGGCCUCGAGUGUUUUGGUGCCAGACUGGUGGGUACACACGGCUGCUGUGGGCAUGAAAGCCUGGAUGCAGUAAGGGAC